RNAcentral lists this long non-coding RNA (1032 nucleotides) under Androctonus crassicauda. Lineage: Eukaryota; Metazoa; Arthropoda; Arachnida; Scorpiones; Buthidae. The record is from RNAcentral.
UUUUCAGGAGGACCCAAGAUCAGAAUACGUGUAGAAAGAGAAUAAUCUUUUUAUUCGGAAACGGGCAACCGGGUGAAUCGUGGCCCCUCUAAUGUUCAUCUAGACAGGGACAAUUUUUAGGAUAAUUUCAGACAGAAACUCAUUUUCUGCAUUUCUAUCAUCAGGAAGAUAUUGGUUCUUAUUUCGGUCCGGAGCUCAAAACUCAAUGUCCUUCCCUUGCAGUUCUCUAAUCUCUAAUAAACUAACAAUAAUAUACCAAACUAUCUUCGAAUCAGCCGAAAAAAAGUGGUAUGUAGGUGUCCAGUUUUCUACAAGUGAUGCAUCUAAAUAUUAAUUUUUCAAUUUUUCAUUUUCUACUGUCAAUAAUUUAGCCCUCCGUAUAUUUUUAGUAAAAAUGAUAUGAUAUCGAGAAUGGUUAGCCUUUCAUUUUCGCCUAUCUUUUCCGUAUAUUUGAUCAACAUAAAGACACUACUGAAUCAUCAACAUCAAGAUAUUGGUAAGCCCGAAAAUACUGGUCCAGCCCGAAAUAAUACUUACCAAAAACAUGAAAAUACUUACCAGUAUCUUCAUGUUGAUGAUUAUUUUGGGCUGGAGCCCAAAACUUAAAAACAGCAGGGUUUUCUUUAUGGCAACGAUUCUACACAGCUAUCUCAGAUACUAAGGCCGUUCCACGAUCCGAUUUUCAUGGGUUUCAACUCAAGAAAAUCGGAUCAUGGAAACACAUUUUGCUUUCCACAUAGAAGACGUGGGCUUGAAUCUGGAUCUCACAUCUCGCAGAAAUUUCAUGAGAAAUCUGAGCAUCCUUGUCCUUUAAAAUCCACUAAUUCUGCCACAAGUUGAGACGUUUGGUGAUAGCGCUCGGAAUUACCCUGCCGCUUGGUAAUCAAACAAUAAUUGAAGCAACACUUAAAAUAAAUCUGGUAACUCGAAAUGAAAGCGAAAAAACAAAAUUACCAAAACGCAAUCACGAAAUCUCGAAAAGAGAAAAAUAUACCGGGCAGAAACGAAUUCGUUUCCGUCCGAAAUUAUCUU